RNAcentral lists this ribosomal RNA (422 nucleotides) under uncultured bacterium. Its description in RNAcentral is "partial 16S ribosomal RNA". It matches the Rfam family "Bacterial small subunit ribosomal RNA", at positions 360 to 774 of the family's 1533-position model. The record is from RNAcentral.
AAUUUUGGACAAUGGGGGAAACCCUGAUCCAGCCAUCCCGCGUGUGCGAUGAAGGCCUUCGGGUUGUAAAGCACUUUUGUCAGGGAAGAAAUCGUACAGGCUAAUAUCUUGUGCGGAUGACGGUACCUGUAGAAUAAGCACCGGCUCACUACGUGCCAGCAGCCGCGGUAAUACGUAGGGUGCAAGCGUUAAUCGGAAUUACUGGGCGUAAAGGGUACGCAGGCGGCUAGGAAAGAAGGAUGUGAAAUCCCAGGGCUCAACCUUGGAACUGCAUUCUUAACUGCCUAGCUAGAGUAUGUCAGAGGGGGGUAGAAUUCCACGUGUAGCAGUGAAAUGCGUAGAUAUGUGGAGGAAUACCGAUGGCGAAGGCAGCCCCCUGGGAUAAUACUGACGCUCAGACACGAAAGCGUGGGGAGCAAACA